This is a non-coding RNA of Xylariaceae sp. AK1471, 126 nucleotides long. The record is from the annotation of a GenBank genome assembly. NCBI's taxonomy places the organism in Eukaryota, Fungi, Ascomycota, Sordariomycetes, Xylariales, Xylariaceae.
AUCCAGUUCGUGUAGUGGUAACACACUCGUGGCAUAGAGUUGGCUUUCUUAGCGUCUUGAUUGAGCGGGUUGUUAGUCCCUCGAUGAUUGCUUCGAGAGACCUUGGUUCGAAUCCAAGCCUGGGUU